RNAcentral lists this long non-coding RNA (1066 nucleotides) under Olea europaea subsp. europaea. Lineage: Eukaryota; Viridiplantae; Streptophyta; Magnoliopsida; Lamiales; Oleaceae. The record is from RNAcentral.
GUAACUUAUGUACAUUGUGACAUAAAAUAUGAUUUUUAACCUAUGAUUUGUUACCCGUGACUCGUAACAUAAAAUGUAACCUAUAAAUUUGAUUUAUGACUUCUAUAAAACGACAUGUGACCUGUUAAUAUUGAUCUGUGACCCCUUUAUACUGACUAUGAACUUGUGAACUCAAAUCUGUAAACGGCAAAUUGUGACCUAAACGGCGAAUUGUGACCAAUGACAUAUGAGCUUUAACCUUAUGUGUUCAUUACCAAAAUUGUUUUCGGUGUGACUGUUUCUGACCAUGUUAGUUUAAUUUGUAAAUAUAUGUAACCAAGUCAAUUACGGUCACAGUAGACACAAAUCUGGUCACGGGCAAUGACAAUGAAGAUAUGUUUGGUUAGUCACCACCAUUCCUAACAUCGACUACCAAACGUACACCACCUCACCGUAGCCACAUGUAACCAGCAACGGAACCAUUGGAACCUCAAGACCACCACCAACACGACCACCAACAUCAAAGCCUGGGCUACCACCAUCAACUACACACAAAGAACAAAACUCACCCCAAAUUUUUCAGCACCAGAUCAUGAACAAAGUUUCCCAACCAACAAAACCCACACAAGCAGAGGGGUCUCAUUUAAUGCAAGAAUCUGGUCCGAGGCAGCACUAGUGGCUUGCAUAGUGGUGUUGAUAGAGGCAUUGUUUUUUUACUUCCACAAGCUUUCUUGAACGAGGACGGCCCCUGUGCAAGUGGCACUCACAGUAUUUCUGGUUUGGAGCCACUUUUUUCAAGCACCUCCACUUCCUGUCGUCCGUUCUCUUGCACCUUUCGGGCUCGGGAUCUCCAAUUUUUAAAUUUCUCAGGUUAAAUAUGCCUCCGCCAUUCACUGCCCCCAAAUCAUCGAGCAAGAAAAGCCCACAAAUCUAAUCAAGUAUAGAAAACUCAAUGGAAAACACCAAGUAAGCAAAAUAUCCAUCAAAGAUGGGAUGUGAGGCUAAAUAUUCCUGCACCAUUAAUUAUCCCCAGUACCAAAUAAGGAAAGCCCACAAAUCGAAUCACAGAAUUUAAACUCAAAACAAA